RNAcentral lists this long non-coding RNA (270 nucleotides) under Nicotiana benthamiana. RNAcentral's name for it is "long non-coding RNA (NBEN_LNC026298)". Lineage: Eukaryota; Viridiplantae; Streptophyta; Magnoliopsida; Solanales; Solanaceae. The record is from RNAcentral.
ACAUAUAAUGCAUGCAUUAGGUAAUCUGUCGUGUCAUCACUCCCAAGUCCCUUGGGUAACGGGCCUUCUUCCGAUCCUACGUGAGUGUAGGAUACUUUGUGCAUCAGGAGCUUUUUUUUCUUCGUUAUUUUUUAAUUAGUAGUUUAAAAAAAUUAUAAUGUGUUAUAACAUGUUAUUACUGUAUUUUCUAGGUUACCGUGUAUAUAUAUAUAUAUAUAUAUUCUUGCGUGUCUUCCAUUGUUUUCAUCUACUGCAUUGGUUAUUAUGCUA